CUUGAAGAUGGACUCGCGUCCGAUUAGUUAGUUGGUGAGGUAACGGCUCACCAAGACCGCGAUCGGUAGCCGGACUGAGAGGUUGAACGGCCACAUUGGGACUGAGACACGGCCCAGACUCCUACGGGAGGCAGCAUG
Molecule: ribosomal RNA, 138 nt
Filed under: uncultured bacterium
Lineage: Bacteria
Description: partial 16S ribosomal RNA
Rfam family: Bacterial small subunit ribosomal RNA
Source: RNAcentral